This 66-nucleotide transfer RNA is filed under the name Neohydnus jiuzhaigouensis. RNAcentral describes it as "tRNA-Tyr". Lineage: Eukaryota; Metazoa; Arthropoda; Insecta; Coleoptera; Cleridae. The record is from RNAcentral.
GAUAAAAUGGCUGAGCUUUAAGCAAUAAACUGUAAAUUUAUUUACGAAACAAGAUUUCUUUUAUCA